This 2637-nucleotide long non-coding RNA is filed under the name Lynx pardinus (Iberian lynx). The record is from RNAcentral. Lineage: Eukaryota; Metazoa; Chordata; Mammalia; Carnivora; Felidae.
GAAGAAUGACAGAGAUCCCCAGCUGGGGUUGCAGCCAUUUAAGAAACUGUAGCACUCUUGCUUUUGUGCCCUCCCCAGCCCCACCCCGCCAGGGAGCGCUUCACCAUUACCAAAGUGAGAAAAAAGGCUGCGUGAGUCACCUUGACAAAUGGGGAGCAUGACUGGGAGGUGAGGGCUGCUAACAUUUCUCUUUGUUCCACUCCCGGAAGCAUCCUGUCUGUCCUGAUCUACCAGUAAACUAGGAUCAGACAGUGAGACUUCUGCUGUCUAUGAAUAUACUGAACAUUUAACAGGAGUCAGCUGCUGAGUGCUUUCAUAGAUUCUUACUUCAUACUCACAAUGGCCCAUGAGCUAGUUACUGUCAUCUGUGUUUUCGAAUUGAGAAAACUGAGGCUCAGAUGGCUGCAAGAACUUGCGCCAGGUCACCUGGCUUUUAAGAGGCCAAAACAGGACUGCAGUUAGGUGACCUGGUCCCUAACCUCUCUCCACUGCCUCAGUGACAGACGUGGAGAUGAGAUUCCACCUGUCUUCUUUUGCUGUGAUGUUGCCUGUGUCUUCCAAUGAAUGUAAAAUGUCACCUGCACUGUGGCUCAACUCUGCCCCUCAUAUUUAUCCAAAUCAGUAAAAUAAUAGGAGGGAUCCAAAUUGACAUCUUACAAGCAAGAAAAUUCAGAGAAAUUAAGCAACUGGGCAAAGUAGUGGGAAGGCGGCGGGGGAACUAGAACCCAGGUCUCUGUUACUUACUAGGGUCGUUCUCAAACUUGCCACAGACUCUGCCGUGCUUCCUACUAUUAAUAAAUAUUUGAUGGGUUCCAGACGCUAGUUCUAGGAGCUUUUUCGUGUUUUAUUUCAUUUAGUAUCACCAUUUUGUAGACAGAGAAGCUUGAUGAACCUGUGUCCAAGGUCACUAGGAUGAUAACCAGUGGAGCUAAGCUUCAGACCCUGGUCUAGCUCCCUGCAACUUCCCAAAGGGGAACCAGCCCAUUCUCAGCGAUGAUUGUAAACAUUCAUCUCUGCAGAUGAGAUCCCUUAUUAGGUACUGCUAUUCCACAUAUGUAUAUUAUUACUGUUAUUUUUAAUAGAUUUACUAGAUUGUAAUGUUUGAUAAUUUUCACCCAAUGCUGGUGAAUGCAGAACACAGACAUUCUCACACACUAGUGGGUGAAAAUGUCAGUUGCUACAACCUCUUUGGAAGUGAGUUGACAGUGUCUAUUAAAACUGCACAAAGCAAACUGACUUAGUAGUUGCUUUUCCAGGAAUUUAUACUGUGCGUUUACAUGUAGCAACAACCAAAGCCCCAUGUACAAGGGAGUUCAUCGUGACAUUGUUCAUAAUAGCAAAAGCUAGAAACAACCAUAGUGCCAAGCAGUGAGGGACUGGGUACAUCAAGAGUGGUCCCUACAUACAAGGGAAUAGAACGUAGACCUUAAAAAGCAGGGGGCAAAUCUAUACAGACUGCUAGGGAGAAGUUUCCAAGAUGUGUUACUGAGUAGAAACUAUAAGUUCCUCAACAGUAUGAUUCAAUAUAUGUAAAGUCAAAGAUCAUAAAACAUUUCUAGAAAAUUCUACAAGAAAUUUAUUAUUAACAGUAAUAACCUCUUGGGGCACCUGGGUGGCUCAGUCGGUUAGGCAUCCGACUUUGGCUCAGGUCAUGAUCUCAUUGUUUGUAGGUUUGAGCCCCAAAUCGGCCUCUGUGCUGACAGCUCAGAGCCUGAAGCCUGCUUCAGAUUCUGUGUCUCCCUCUCUCUCUGCUCCUCCCCCUCUCAUGCUCUGUCUCUCAAAAAUGAAUAAACAUUCUAAAAUUAAAAAAAAAUAGUAAUAACCUCUAGAAAUUGGGAUGGGGCCAGAACUUUAUCCUUUUGUGAUUUUUUAUAUUGUUUGAAUAUUUGAAAUACGAUUUUAUUGACGUAUAUGUAUUGUUUGAAACUUUUUUACUAUGAACAUGUGCUUUUUUAAUUAGCUAACUACAAAACUUAAUUAUUUCUUCAACUAGUAAUUCUUAAUACUUAGCACAUUAAUAGGAUAUUUAUUUUUAAAGCAAAAAUCCAUCUGAAAGAAUGAAGAAACACAUUGGACAAAGUAUUGUCCAGAGUAGCCUUUUGACAUCCUAACAACCCAGUAGAGAUAGUUGAAUAAUUAACUUAUUAAGUUGUCAGCAGUCAUGUUGCUACAGUUAGACAGUUUACUAGUUUGACAAUGAUGGAUAAACAUUAAUCAACCUAUCAACGUGAGUCACAACAUAGUAACUGUUAUCUGGGGCUUAAUGAUAACAGUUACCGCUUUUUUUGAAUAUUACUCUAUGCCAAGCUGUCUUAAGUACAUACUGUUUCUCAUUUAAUUCCUUACAAUCACCAGGUGGUUGUUUUUGUGCCCAUUUUACAGAUUAAAAAACCGAGGCUCAAAGAAGUUCAGCCACCUGACCAGCUAUUAAGUGGUGGUGCUGUAGAUCGAACCCCAGUCUUCAUCACCCCUGGGAUCGGACUUUUAACCACUCUGUGUGGUGGCAUGGUGCAUCUUGGUAUUAUGGGCUUUUGAGACCAGAAGUUUCUCUGCUAAAUCCUGGCUGGAUAUCUCUGAUAUCUGUCUCCAAUCUCUCUCUCUUUCAUCUCCCAUCUCUCCACAUGACCUGGAUUCUCU